AACGUCCCUGAGCACUGAGCGGAACGAAAUCUUGGGCUGACGCUGUCCUUGUCCAUUUAAUUUAGAAAAUGUGUUGUGUCCAGAAGUCGAUUACAAUUGAAGAUGGAGUUGUGUCACGCGUUAAAUGCGAUCUUGAAGCACUCAUCAAAGACACCUGAUGAAGCCCUACCCAUCGGAUAAGAGAUUCAUCACCUGGUAUUGAGGGUAAUGAGCGAGGCGUGGAGGUGAACACAUUAAACCAAGCCGACCUUGCCCAGCCCAGCCAGGAGGGAUGAUAGAGACGGUACAGGAACAGAGGGGUAGCGGCCAGGACCAAACCAAACUCCCUCUACAUCCCUUCCAACUCCUCCAUGGUGGCCCCACACCUGUCCAACACUCGGAGGCGAUUUGACACAACAACAACAACACUAGAACAGAUUGAAGGGGAAGGCAAAAAGCUGGCUUGAGGAGUGUGCUGGAGACAGACAGACUGGAAAAGUGGAACUUCUCUGGUGCUGAGAGAAUGCGCUCCAGCUCAAGCUGAAUCUACAGUAAAGGAGAGGGGCUGAGUCACUGGCUUACUGGGGCUCUCUCAUGCCGUCCCUGGAAGGGGUGCGUCACCUGAGUGGGUUGAUUCACUGAUGUGGUCAUCCUGUCUGGGUUGGCACCCCCCUUGGGUUGUGCCAUGGCGGAGAUCUUUGCGGGCUAUACUCAGCUUUGUCUCAGGAUGGACCUGAGCCCUAGGACCAUGCCCCAGGACUACCUGACAUGAUGACUCCUUGCUGUCCCCAGUCCACCUGGCCGUGCUGCUGCUCCAGUUUCAACUGUUCUACCUUAUUAUUAUUCGACCAUGCUGGUCAUUUAUGAACAUUUGAACAUCUUGGCCAUGUUCUGUUAUAAUCUCCACCCGGCACAGCCGGAAGAGGACUGGCCACCCCACAUAUGCUCUCUCUAAUUCUCUUUCUUUCUUUCUCUCGGAGGACAUGAGCCCUAGGACCAUGCCC
Long non-coding RNA from Oncorhynchus masou masou (cherry salmon), 983 nucleotides. RefSeq lists it as uncharacterized. The transcript has 7 exons. The record is from RefSeq and is a predicted model, not a curated record. Lineage: Eukaryota; Metazoa; Chordata; Actinopteri; Salmoniformes; Salmonidae.